RNAcentral lists this unclassified non-coding RNA (1066 nucleotides) under Hevea brasiliensis (rubber tree). Lineage: Eukaryota; Viridiplantae; Streptophyta; Magnoliopsida; Malpighiales; Euphorbiaceae. The record is from RNAcentral.
AACUGCAAAGAUUAAAUACAUUUUCUGCAAGAAGUAAACGCGAUGCAAGUUAGUGUUUUGGUAGAAAUUAUAGCAUUUCGAUGAUGAAAAAGAAUCUCAGUCGGGAAAGAAGAAAAUAGGUUGAAGAAGACAAUUGUGAAGAUAUUAUUUUGAAUAAGCAAAAACAUAACAGAUCUGACAACAAAUGCAGAUGCAAUUUUCAGGUGUUAACAUUGGAUAUGUCUUACAAGCAUAAAAACUAACUGAUACAGGACAUUCUACUAGAGAUUGUAGAUCUCCAUAUUUUAUGAAGAAAUUUAGGAAAUUUAGAUAAGAAGUAGUAUUUUACUUAUUUAGGAGUUUGUGAUGAUUUAGUAUUCCUAAUUAGUGUCGGUUUAGUAUUCAUUAUUUCGGGAUAUUAUAAAUACCUGUGCAAUCUAGCCAUUUUAGUAGAGCUAAUAUUAUUGACAAUUGAUAAUUAAUCAAAUUUGAGAGUUUAUUUCUUAUCCCCUUUGAGUGUUCUUUGUGGUUCUACACCACUAAACUUGCUAACAACCAUCAUAAUUUAAAGCAACCAAAAAGUGCACAUGGGUGCACAGUUCAAGUGUUGGCUGGUUGGUACUGCUUUGUUUUGCGAAGGCAGAACAAACUAACACCCAAACUGAGCAGACCAAGCGCAAGACAUGUUGAGAGUGAAACUGUAAUAAAUAGAACAUAAUAAGUGUGCAACUUGUUUGGGAGAAGUAACACUAAAACUUCAUAGAGCCGAAAGGGAAGCAGCAUUUUGAAGCAAAAGACCUAAUCCAGAUCAAAUCUAAAUGUUAUCGGAUUAAGAAAUUAUAGUACUAUUCCUUUGGCACGCUUUUAUUAUUCUAAAAUCAAGUAAAGCCAAAUGCAAAUCAACUCUGUGUGGGUGUGUAUCUGUAUUUAUUACUUUAAAAUUAAGCAAGGAACAUGAAAGGAAUUCUCUGUCUCUGUGUCUCAAGUCUUAUCUCUCUCUCAAAAACAUAGAGAAGCAAACAAUACUGGCAAUUAAAAUUCAAAUGGAAAAUUCAUAUGGUACUUCGAUAAUUAAGCAAAUGUCUGU